Molecule: ribosomal RNA, 468 nt
Filed under: uncultured bacterium
Lineage: Bacteria
Description: partial 16S ribosomal RNA
Rfam family: Bacterial small subunit ribosomal RNA
Source: RNAcentral
GACGAACGCUGGCGGCGUGCUUAACACAUGCAAGUCGAACGGAAAGGCCCUGCUUUUGUGGGGUGCUCGAGUGGCGAACGGGUGAGUAACACGUGAGUAACCUGCCCUUGACUUUGGGAUAACUUCAGGAAACUGGGGCUAAUACCGGAUAGGAGCUCCUGCUGCAUGGUGGGGGUUGGAAAGUUUCGGCGGUUGGGGAUGGACUCGCGGCUUAUCAGCUUGUUGGUGGGGUAGUGGCUUAUCAAGGCUUUGACGGGUAGCCGGCCUGAGAGGGUGACCGGCCACAUUGGGACUGAGAUACGGCCCAGACUCCUACGGGAGGCAGCAGUGGGGAAUAUUGCACAGUGGGCGGAAGCCUGAUGCAGCAACGCCGCGUGCGGGAUGACGGCCUUCGGGUUGUAAACCGCUUUCGCCUGUGACGAAGCGUGAGUGACGGUAAUGGGUAAAGAAGCACCGGCUAACUACGUG